This 121-nucleotide transfer RNA is filed under the name Crocosphaera subtropica ATCC 51142. RNAcentral's name for it is "tRNA-Und (NNN) (tRNA-Und-NNN-2-1)". It matches the Rfam family "tRNA". Rfam says of the family: Transfer RNA (tRNA) molecules are approximately 80 nucleotides in length. Their secondary structure includes four short double-helical elements and three loops (D, anti-codon, and T loops). Further hydrogen bonds mediate the characteristic L-shaped molecular structure. tRNAs have two regions of fundamental functional importance: the anti-codon, which is responsible for specific mRNA codon recognition, and the 3' end, to which the tRNAs corresponding amino acid is attached (by aminoacyl-tRNA synthetases). tRNAs cope with the degeneracy of the genetic code in two manners: having more than one tRNA (with a specific anti-codon) for a particular amino acid; and 'wobble' base-pairing, i.e. permitting non-standard base-pairing at the 3rd anti-codon position. The record is from Rfam by way of RNAcentral. Lineage: Bacteria; Bacillati; Cyanobacteriota; Cyanophyceae; Chroococcales; Aphanothecaceae.
GGCGAAGUAGUUUAAACGGAUAGAACAUUAUAUCCUUGUUCAUCCCUUGCCCUUUGGGCCGAAGAAUGAGGGUUAUCGACUACCUACUCGAAAGGUGUGGGUUCGACUCCCACCUUCGCCG